CAGCACUUUGUCCCUCAUUAUAAUGGUUUGCGUCUAUGUAUUUUAGCUAAAAGAUAAAUAGGGGUGAUUGAAAAGUCCCAUGACGAAUAAGGCAUAGACUAGACACGUUUUCCGGCGGGUCUGUCGAUUUCCAUUUAACGUCGAGUGACGGGUGGCUUUAACUGCUCAUGGGAUGCAGGAAACACGGAAGUGGACUUGCGGUUGAAAGCAUCCAUCCAACUAUUGCUUAUGUAAUCAGGAAGUCACGUUCACAGGAAGUCACGUUCUGUCAAAGGGCGCAACUGUAAUUAGUCAAUGGGCUUAUAGUACUGUUGAAGUCUGGG
Molecule: long non-coding RNA, 323 nt
Organism: Esox lucius (northern pike)
Lineage: Eukaryota; Metazoa; Chordata; Actinopteri; Esociformes; Esocidae
Source: Ensembl